This 440-nucleotide ribosomal RNA is filed under the name uncultured bacterium. RNAcentral's name for it is "partial 16S ribosomal RNA". It matches the Rfam family "Bacterial small subunit ribosomal RNA", at positions 338 to 795 of the family's 1533-position model. The record is from RNAcentral.
CCUACGGGUGGCAGCAGUGGGGGAUAUUGCACAAUGGGGGGAACCCUGAUGCAGCGACGCCGCGUGGGUGAAGAAGCGCCUCGGCGCGUAAAGCCCUGUCAGCAGGGAAGAAAAUGACGGUACCUGAAGAAGAAGCCCCGGCUAACUACGUGCCAGCAGCCGCGGUAAUACGUAGGGGGCAAGCGUUAUCCGGAUUUACUGGGUGUAAAGGGGGCGCAGACGGCGAUGCAAGCCAGGAGUGAAAGCCCGGGGCCCAACCCCGGGACUGCUCUUGGAACUGCGUGGCUGGAGUGCAGGAGGGGCAGGCGGAAUUCCUGGUGUAGCGGUGAAAUGCGUAGAUAUCAGGAGGAAUACUCAUUGCGAAGGCGACCUGCUGGAACAUUACUGACGCUGAUGCACGAAAGCGUGGGGAGCAAACAGGAUUAGAUACCCGAGUAGUC